Molecule: ribosomal RNA, 292 nt
Filed under: uncultured bacterium
Lineage: Bacteria
Description: partial 16S ribosomal RNA
Rfam family: Bacterial small subunit ribosomal RNA
Source: RNAcentral
CUGCCAGCAGCCGCGGUAAUACGGAGGGGGCGAGCGUUGUUCGGAAUUACUGGGCGUAAAGCGCACGUAGGCGGCGCGUCGAGUUAGGGGUGAAAGGCCUGGGCUCAACCUGGGAACUGCCUCUAAUACUGACGUGCUGGAGUCCGGAAGGGGGUGGCGGAAUUCCCAGUGUAGAGGUGAAAUUCGUAGAUAUUGGGAAGAACACCGGUGGCGAAGGCGGCCACCUGGUCCGGAACUGACGCUGGGGUGCGAAAGCGUGGGGAGCAAACAGGAUUAGAAACCCGAGUAGUCC